This 70-nucleotide transfer RNA is filed under the name Chrysochir aurea (Reeve's croaker). RNAcentral's name for it is "tRNA-Phe". It matches the Rfam family "tRNA". Rfam says of the family: Transfer RNA (tRNA) molecules are approximately 80 nucleotides in length. Their secondary structure includes four short double-helical elements and three loops (D, anti-codon, and T loops). Lineage: Eukaryota; Metazoa; Chordata; Actinopteri; Sciaenidae. The record is from RNAcentral.
GUUAACGUAGCUUAAAUGUAAAGCAUAACACUGAAGAUGUUAAGAUGGGCCCAGAAAAGCUCCGUGAACA